UGAGGAAUAUUGGUCAAUGGGCGAGAGCCUGAACCAGCCAAGUAGCGUGCAGGAUGACGGCCCUAUGGGUUGUAAACUGCUUUUAUAAGGGAAUAAAGUGAGUCUCGUGAGACUUUUUGCAUGUACCUUAUGAAUAAGGACCGGCUAAUUCCGUGCCAGCAGCCGCGGUAAUACGGAAGGUCCGGGCGUUAUCCGGAUUUAUUGGGUUUAAAGGGAGCGUAGGCCGGAGAUUAAGCGUGUUGUGAAAUGUAGACGCUCAACGUCUGCACUGCAGCGCGAACUGGUUUCCUUGAGUACGCACAAAGUGGGCGGAAUUCGUGGUGUAGCGGUGAAAUGCUUAGAUAUCACGAAGAACUCCGAUUGCGAAGGCAGCUCACUGGAGCGCAACUGACGCUGAAGCUCGAAAGUGCGGGUAUCGAACAGGAUUAGAUACCCUGGUAGUCCGCACGGUAAACGAUGGAUGCCCGCUGUUGGCCUGAAUAGGUCAGCGGCCAAGCGAAAGCAUUAAGCAUCCCACCUGGGGAGUACGCCGGCAACGGUGAAACUCAAAGGAAUUGACGGGGGCCCGCACAAGCGGAGGAACAUGUGGUUUAAUUCGAUGAUACGCGAGGAACCUUACCCGGGCUUGAAUUGCAGAGGAAGGAUUUGGAGACAAUGACGCCCUUCGGGGCCUCUGUGAAGGUGCUGCAUGGUUGUCGUCAGCUCGUGCCGUGAGGUGUCGGCUUAAGUGCCAUAACGAGCGCAACCCCUCUCCUUAGUUGCCAUCAGGUCAUGCUGGGCACUCUGGGGACACUGCCACCGUAAGGUGUGAGGAAGGUGGGGAUGACGUCAAAUCAGCACGGCCCUUACGUCCGGGGCUACACACGUGUUACAAUGGCAGGUACAGAGAGACGGUCCCUUGCAAAAGGGAUCAAAUCCUCAAAGCCUGUCUCAGUUCGGACUGGGGUCUGCAACCCGACCCCACGAAGCUGGAUUCGCUAGUAAUCGCGCAUCAGCCAUGGCGCGGUGAAUACGUUCCC
This 1019-nucleotide ribosomal RNA is filed under the name uncultured bacterium. RNAcentral describes it as "bacterial SSU rRNA". It matches the Rfam family "Bacterial small subunit ribosomal RNA", at positions 355 to 1375 of the family's 1533-position model. The record is from RNAcentral.